GCGGCCAUGGAGUAGUAGUCAACUCGUUUCCCUCCCAAGGAAGAAACGCGGGUGCAAAUCCCGCUGGCCGCA
This is a transfer RNA of Microdochium bolleyi, 72 nucleotides long. It matches the Rfam family "tRNA". From Rfam's summary of the family: Transfer RNA (tRNA) molecules are approximately 80 nucleotides in length. The record is from Rfam. Lineage: Eukaryota; Fungi; Ascomycota; Sordariomycetes; Xylariales; Microdochiaceae.